This 428-nucleotide ribosomal RNA is filed under the name uncultured bacterium. RNAcentral's name for it is "bacterial SSU rRNA". It matches the Rfam family "Bacterial small subunit ribosomal RNA", at positions 30 to 504 of the family's 1533-position model. The record is from RNAcentral.
CGAACGCUGGCGGCAGGCCUAACACAUGCAAGUCGAACGGAUCCUUCGGGAUUAGUGGCGGACGGGUGAGUAACACGUGGGAACGUGCCCUUUGGUUCGGAACAACUCAGGGAAACUUGAGCUAAUACCGGAUGUGCCCUUCGGGGGAAAGAUUUAUCGCCAUUGGAGCGGCCCGCGUCUGAUUAGCUAGUUGGUGAGGUAAAGGCUCACCAAGGCGACGAUCAGUAGCUGGUCUGAGAGGAUGAUCAGCAACAUUGGGACUGAGACACGGCCCAAACUCCUACGGGAGGCAGCAGUGGGGAAUCUUGCGCAAUGGGCGAAAGCCUGACGCAGCCAUGCCGCGUGAAUGAUGAAGGUCUUAGGAUUGUAAAAUUCUUUCACCGGGGACGAUAAUGACGGUACCCGGAGAAGAAGCCCCGGCUAACUUC